GUGCAGCUAUAAUAAAAAAAUAAAAUUACUUAAUUAAUUAAUUAAUAAAGUGUGAGCGAGAGAAAGCCAGCCACUAUGGAGAUGUUAGAGUUAGUUCGGCGCGGUCAUUUGCACAAACCGGCAGAGCUCCACGAGUUUGUAGUGAUGCACGUGCGACCCUUCUUUAAACCCAGUGAUCUCGACACAAACAGGGGAGACAAAAUUGGAUAAGCGACAGUGGUUGUUGUAUUUUCUCAUGUCAUAACGACAAACGGUCAGAAGUUAGUUUUUAUUCGCUAAGACUGUUUUGACUGUUAUCAAGCACGGAACGUUUGUAGUCGCUUAAACACAAUUAGAUAUUUAUCUGUUUUUAAUUUCCAUGCGAGUGCAUGAAAAGUAAAUCAUGUUAACAACUGUUUGCACAUCUCCCAUGUGAACAGCGUGCACGGUCCCGACCCUAGUUGUCUAACAUGUUGACGUUCGAGACGCUUCUCGUAAAAGAGCUGCAAAAACAGCAGAGCAGGGCAGAGUUCUGUGACAUUGUGCUGCAGACUCGAGGUGUGUCUGUGCCGGUGCACAGCUGUGUGUUGUCUGCCUUCAGUCCUUGGCUCUGUGGGGCUCUGUCAGCCAUGCCAUCACUCCGGAACGGGCAGAGGAGACUGAUUGAAGUCCAAGCCUUGGAGGCCUGUACGUUGCUCAGUCUGGUCAGUCUGCUGUACUCCGGUCAGUUGAACGAGGACAAAGAGGAAGUCCUCUCAGCAGCCUGUAAACUCGGCAUUGACAUACCUCAGCAAGUAUCAAAGAGGCCGGCAACUGAGCGAAACACACAGACGGAGUGCAUGAAAGAGAUGGCAGAGAGAGAGUGUCAAACCGAGGCUGUUCCUUCUGAAUGUCAAAACCCCAAAGAGAUCAUUGAAAGUGUUCAUCUGAUCGGGACGUCGUCAUGGAGGACCGAUCAGGGGCUCUGCACGUACACCGAUGGCUCUGAUAUCACCCUGGCCACACUUCAAAACAUCCAGGGUAAUCCAGAGAACAUGCCUUCCUUUCAAGUCAUGGAUGUGGUCCCUGAAAAUGCAGUGUAUCCCACAGUGAGUGGACCGGCCAGCUUGCCCCAGGUCUACGAUACAGCUCCACCUCAAAGAAGGCGUAGAGGUCGCCCCCGCAAACGUCCCUUGCCCAAACCAGAUGUUUCCCAAAAUUUCAGUGGAAUUUCACCACCUGAUCAGAAAACCUUGAACCCUCCAGCUCUAUCCAUGUUGCAUACCGCAGCUCUCCCAGCAGCCAAUCAGACCAGCCUCACUCAGCCAAUGGACUGGCUUAUAGAUGACGUCAUUGCGCAGCUCCCAUUUAUGCCCAGCAAUCAAAAUGGAAUAACUGUAGAUUCCAACAUGGAUCAUACAAGAACACAGUCCUCAGUUAAGCUCACAGAUCUGGGUAUAAUCCAACCACAGUCUGAAGGUGAGCUGACCGACAUACUUGAUAGUUUUCUGAGAACGUUUGAGCAACACGUUGGUGUAUGCGAUUCAGACGUCCAAGAUGGGAUGGUGCCCAACAUAACAGAUGGAACCCGGACCUGUGGACAGACUUACACAGUCCACACAAAUGCACAUGCCACUUCUGUGAACACAACAACACAGGGAUCAAAAGCCUCAUUAUCCAAGAACAGACCACGAGUAUCAUCUGCACGUAGACCGCAGAAACCAUCACGUUUUUGGCAGGUGUCAGGUGUGAAAAUGGAGAAAUCAACAGGACAGCAGAGUGAACAGAAGCCUAAAUCUGGCAGGAUGACCAGGAGCCAGAGUAGGAAGAGGAAGCUGGAUGUUAUUGAAGAACUGCCUAGGAGAGACGAGCUCCCAACCAAACGGAAGAGAAAAAGAAAAGAAGAACAAACAGAGAAGACGAAGGUAGACGCUUCUCUACUAAAGGAGAAAAAGAGAAAGAAAAAAACUAGCAGGCUGCAUAGUGAAGAAAAGUGCACCGGUAGCACAGCUGACUCAAGCUGCAGUGUUGCAAGUACAUUAAGCAAAGUCAUAAACGCAGCUAGUGGCCAAAACGUGAAGUGUGUCACACAAACAACAAAGGCUUUGGAUCGGUCAAAAUCCUCAGAGCUGCAUGCUCACAAAGUGUCCAGUCUUGUAAAAGAGAAACAAGUGGGACAUGCUAAAAGAGACACAAGCGAGACUCUUCUAGAAGGAAGUACGUUAAAGGUGCAGUGCAGUACAGGGAGUUCACAACCCAAGCUAUCAGCCACAAAGAAUAAAUCCACUGGGUCCCGUCCAGCUCUUUCUGCUUUUGAGUUAAUGAAAAAGAUCUUGGAGAAUCACCAGAAGAGAGAGGAAGAGCACAAGGGAAAAGACAACAGAAUGUGGACUGUGAAAAGACAGAAAGGAAAGGAAAGGCUGACAAAUGCGCAUGUGCGUGGAGCUGAGGUGAAAAUGACUGAGAAUAAAGAGAAGAAUGCUAGAAUCAGGGUUGAAGGGCACAAUAAAAGCAGAAUAAACCAAAAAGAUAAGGAAAGAAGUGGGAGAAUAAAAGAGGCUGGCAACCAGAAGAACAUUUUUCUUCAGCAGAAUCUGCCAUCAGCUAAUGGUUGCAGCAUGUCAAAAGUAGAGAGACUGAUGGAGGAUGACUACAGCAAGCCAAGAUCUGAGACUGCUGACUCUCUCAAUGAUUCUCCUUUGCAAAGAUGCAGCACAGAAGGCAUCGUGCUUAAAAACACAGCAGACAAGUCUUUUGUCUCACAUGCACAAGAGCCCACCACACCUCUUGAGAAACUCGGAAACCCACAAGGGUCAAUAGCCAUUUCAGAAGAGGAUGAGGAUGUUGAUGUUGUGGAGGUCUCUAGUUCUUUGUCCGAGUCCUUCUCUGUGCCGCCAAUCACUGCAGAUAUUGUGCUCAGCACAGAGGACAGUGAUGAAGAUGACGAGAUUGAUGUGAUAAGUUUAGGAUCUAAUUAAGUGUGUAGCAAUUUCUGUUACUGUUUAUUACUGUUUAGCUUCAGAGUUCUGAAUAAAUGUGUGUUGGUGCUUAUUUGAAACACUAUUUCAAAUGAUCAGAGACUUAGAACAUGGUACCUUUUCCCUGUGUAUAAUUCAAUACAUAGUUCACACAAGGUGACACUUAGCAGUAUUUGCUCUUUCGACUUUGGUGGCUUCAGUUUCAGGCAUCAGAAAUUUUUAUAGAUUUGAGUUCUGAAUGUUAAAGUUUAUUUUGUGUCACAAUGAUUGGGACUGCUAUUAAUGCAUGCUGAGUUUUCUUGUCAUUUGCCGUAUUUUGUAGCCAUGUUCAGAAUUAAAAGACAUGGAUCCAGCCUUGGUUGUUCUUGUGUUCAAAUACGGGUUUCCACAUGUUCAAAGGGUGGCCGGC
Sinocyclocheilus anshuiensis is the source of this 3345-nucleotide long non-coding RNA. Ensembl lists it as uncharacterized. The record is from Ensembl. NCBI's taxonomy places the organism in Eukaryota, Metazoa, Chordata, Actinopteri, Cypriniformes, Cyprinidae.